Molecule: ribosomal RNA, 263 nt
Filed under: uncultured bacterium
Lineage: Bacteria
Description: partial 16S ribosomal RNA
Rfam family: Bacterial small subunit ribosomal RNA
Source: RNAcentral
CUUAGUGGCGGACGGGUGAGUAACGCGUGGGUAACCUGCCCUAUACUGGGGGAUAACAGCUAGAAAUGGCUGCUAAUACCGCAUGAGCGCACAGUCCCGCAUGGGACAGUGCGGAAAACUCCGGUGGUAUAGGAUGGACCCGCGUCCGAUCAGCUGGUUGGUGGGGUAACGGCCCACCAAGGCGACGAUCGGUAGCCGACCUGAGAGGGUGACCGGCCACAUUGGGACUGAGACACGGCCCAAACUCCUACGGGAGGCAGCAG